RNAcentral lists this long non-coding RNA (1702 nucleotides) under Podarcis lilfordi (Lilford's wall lizard). The record is from RNAcentral. Lineage: Eukaryota; Metazoa; Chordata; Lepidosauria; Squamata; Lacertidae.
GUUCUGGGUUCCUCCUCUCUCCUGUGGGUGAGGGGAGCACCCUGUUGCAACAGAUCAAUAAAGAUCAGGCUUACUAGCUGCUUUGCUUCUCAAUAUUCUCUGGUUGGCCUCUGUUAUCUUCUCCUACCAAUAGGGAACCUAUGUAAGGACUCUAUAUGGGCUCUUGGAUACCCCAUAAGGGAAAAGGGCAAUUUUUGUUUACAACAUGCAUUAUUCACUUUAUUUGUUAUUCCAUCCUUAAUAUAUUAUGAUCCUAUCUCCUUGGGCCUUUUAAACUUUUGCAUAUUAAUUUUUAAUUUUUUUAAAGCGACAUGGCCCUUUCUUUAGGAACAUGAAUGAGGGGAACGACAGAAGACUCACAAAUGCUUCCGGCCUUCUUCAGCGUGAGGGUCAAGGCAACAGAAGAAAAGGGACGAAGGCCACCCCCAGCUCUGCUGAGAAGCCAGGCUUCUCCUGCCUUGAACUGCCGCCUGAGGAGGGGUUGAGAAGGAAAGCAAUACCCCUCCAUCAGCACAGUUGAGAAAUGGGCAACUUUUGACAUCUCCUCUCUUUGAAUUGUUCCACCCGUUGCUCAUUAGAAGAGCCUGUAAAUCAAAUAAACAAGGAAUAUUCGGUGUUAUGCUGGAGGGGAUGCCAGGAAACUGGGACUUAUGUUCACAUGUGGUGGGGGUGUAAAUAUGUCCUUUUUUUUUUUUUUGGCAAAGGCUGUUUAAGGAGAUAUCAGAAAUCACUGGGUUAAAGCUGACCGAAAGUCCAGAGGCAGCAUUAUUAUCAAUUUACGACUGGGCGGAAGUUUCGCAGGCUGUGAAGGACUCGCUCACAAAUCUAUUGACAGCUGCAUGCAUUGUUAUAGCCAGGAAGUGGAAGGGGCAAGCAGAAUAUAAAAUGGAAGAAUGGUAUAAAGAGGUGUGGGAUAUACAGUAGCUAUUAACAUGUGCCAUUAUGGUAAGACAGGGAAUAUACAGGAGAAAUUGUUUUGAGGAAAUAUGGAAGGUGUUUUUAGAAUUUGUACUGUUAAAAUGGAAUUGCAAGAGGUGUUGAAAUUUUGGGAGGUUGGAUAGUUACAAUGGAAUGGUCCCGGUGGUGGGUGCACAUGCUUAUUCUUAUUUAUUUAUGAUUAUAAAUAAAAAAGGGGGAAAGAACCUGUAACUGGACAUUUGCAUAUCUCCUCCUCCCUCCCCAUCCAUUUUCCUUUUGUGUCAUGCCUUCUGAGAUUGUAAAUAAAUAAUAAGGUAAAAAAAACCCCAAACCCUUUCUUUCUGCUUUUUCACAGGAAGAACACAACAGCAAAUUUAAUGGAAAGGAAAUCAAGAUAAGGCAUUCCACAGCCCCAGCCUGUCCUAUCUAGACCUGCUUUCAACCACCAGGACUCUUGGAGACUCCAUGUUCCAUGGUGAUUUAGGAGAGUGCAUUGCCUCAGCCAUGUUUGGGCCAGAGAAAAGCUGGGGGAUAGCGGCCGCGGUCCUCCAGGAAGUCCAAAGGGUCUUGGCUUAUUUCUUGAUUGUGUACACCCUCCUUUUAGGAGGCUUCAUUUGUGCUGGACUGAUACUGCAGUUCCUCACUUAGAGUAGGGAAGGUGGAGGAUUUCGUAUGAGCCACAUUGGAAUGGGGACCAAGCCAAUUUUGCAGAUCACAGCUAUUGGCCAGUUAUUGCAUCUCUCCAAAUUUUGCUGCGACUCAAAAAUGUACAAAUACCCAGGGU